GACGGGGGAUGCAAGUGUUAUCCGGAAUCACUGGGCGUAAAGCGUCUGUAGGUGGUUACAUAAGUCAACUGUUAAAUCUUGAGGCUUAGCCUCAAAAUCGCAGUCGAAACUGUUUGACUAGAGUAUAGUAGGGGUAAAGGGAAUUUCCAGUGGAGCGGUGAAAUGCGUAGAUAUUGGAAAGAACACCGAUGGCGAAGGCACUUUACUGGGCUAUUACUAACACUGAGAGACGAAAGCUAGGGUAGCAAAUGGG
Molecule: ribosomal RNA, 253 nt
Filed under: uncultured bacterium
Lineage: Bacteria
Description: partial 16S ribosomal RNA
Rfam family: Bacterial small subunit ribosomal RNA
Source: RNAcentral